Molecule: long non-coding RNA, 2753 nt
Organism: Gasterosteus aculeatus aculeatus (three-spined stickleback)
Lineage: Eukaryota; Metazoa; Chordata; Actinopteri; Perciformes; Gasterosteidae
Source: Ensembl
CGUAGGUGUCGUUACCGUAAACCAAUCGCAUUGGGGCAGGCAACGUUAAAAAAACUGUUCUCCUCUCUUUUGCUGUCAGUUGUCAUUUCAGCACGCUCCAAAGGUGAGGAUUAUUUUUCGCCUGGAUUAGCAGCGAUCGUGACGGCAAAGGAAUGUCCGAUUCGGACAGCGAUUUAUUUUGGAGACGCGAGUCUCAACAACCGGAGCCGGCCAGCAGCCCACCGAGCGGCCGGCGCAGGAGCACUCAUCUCACAAGGCACAGCGGCUCCACUACGAACGAGCGAGAACAAAUUCUCACUCAACUGCACAACCGCGGCGUGGCUCCCGCACCGGGGCUCCCUCUCUCACAGCUGCGGGACUUGGUGAAACACACAGCCUCCCCGCCUCCCGCGCCAGGACGGAAGCGGACCAAUACAGCCGCCGCAGGCGAGGCGGAGAAAAACGGCUACCUGGUCCAAUUCUCCACCAGCGACGGCAGGCACGUCGGGCCCAGACGCCGUGGUAAUCGCAACGCUACAAACAUUGGUCAACACGAUGGGCACCAUAGAGGCGCGCCUGCAGCACCUAGGGGACAGGCACCCCACUCCAUCCACCUCAUUCGGCGCAGACAUCGGCAUCGGCACAAGGGGAAGCGGCGCAGCCUUCUUUGGGAUCAGCGGUACCUGAUCGCCCACAGGGUAGGACAUACAUUUCUCAGGCAUCGAAUGUGUCAACACGCCUGCGGGCAAAAAUACAUCAAGGGGAAGACAUCAAUCUGGUCUCCAUCAUCCUUCCAUCCCCAGAGUGUGAUGUUAGCAUAGCAUCAAGCGUUAAUAUUUCUCCAGUGUUCAAAACCGCAGACCCACGACUGAACAGAGAGUUAUCGAUAGGGCAAUUUUUUGUUGCGUUUGGAGUAUAUCGAGACGUUAUUUGCACGCCGCACAACCACCGCUGCGGCAACAGGUGAGCCGAGGGCACGAGGGCCCAAAUUUAGAUCAUAUUCCGGUAUGCCUCAGUUUUAAUGAGAGUGUCUGUUCAUACAAAAACUGCCGUUAUGUCCACAUUUGCAGCCUGUGCAAGGAGGCGCAUCCAAGGUCUGUAUGCUCUCGGCACUCGGGCAGGAUCCCACGGGGGGGGCCACCAUCCAUCCAUCCAUCCCUCCAUCUUCAACCGCUUAUCCGGGGUCGGGUCGCGGGGGCAACAGCUCCAGCAGUGGACCCCAAACUUCCCUUUCCCGGGCCACAUCUACCAGCUCUGACUGGGGGAUCCCAAGGCGUUCCCAGGCCAGUGCAGAGAUAUAAUCUCUCCACCUAGUCCUGGGUCUUCCCCGGGGCCUCUUCCCAGCUGGCCGUGCCUGAAACACCUCCCUAGGGAGGCGCCCAGGGGGCAUCCUCACCAGAUGCCCAAACCACUUCAACUGGCUCCUUUCGACGCAAAGGAGCAGCGGCUCUACUCCGAGCUCCUCGCAAAUGGCUGAGCUUCUCACCCUAUCCCUAAGGGAGACGCCAGCCACUCUCCUGAGGAAACCCAUUUCGGCCGCUUGUACCCGUGACCUAGUUCUUUCGGUCAUGACCCAUCCUUCAUGACCUUAGGUGAGGGUAGGAACGAAGAUUGACCGGUAGAUCGAGAGCUUUGCCUUCCGGCUCAGCUCUCUUUUCGUCACAACGGUGCGGUAAAGCGAGUGCAAUACCGCCCCCGCUGCUCCGAUUCUCCGGCCAAACUCACACUCCAUCUUCCUCUCACUCGUGAACAAGACCCCGAGGUACUUGAACUCCUUCACUUGGGGUAAGGACACAUUCCCUACCUGGAGUAGGCAAUCCAUCGGUUUCCUAAUGAGAACCAUGGCCUCAGAUUUAGAGGUGCUAAUCCUCAUCCCGACCGCUUCACACUCGACUGCGAAACGCUCCAGUGAGAGUUGGAGGUCACACACGGAAGAUGCCAUCAGGACCACAUCAUCUGCAAAAAGCAGCGAUGUGAUCCACAGCCCCCCGAACUGUAGACCCUCCUCCCCCCGACUACGCCUCGAUAUCCUGUCCAUGAAAACCACAAACAAGAUUAGUGACAAGACGCAGCCCUGGCGAAGGCCAACCCCCACCGGAAACGCCUUCGACUUACUGCCGAGCACCCGAACACAGCUCUCGCUUUGGGCGUACAAGGAUUGGAUGGCCCCAAGCAAGGACCCCCUCACCCCGUACUCCCGCAGCACCUCCCACAAGUUUUCCCCCCACCACCCGAAGGCGUAGGGAGGCGACCCUUUUGUCCACCGGGGUAAACUCCAAUGUAGCAGCACUCAGCCGGGGACUUAUGAGUAUCCCCACACCCGCCUGGCACCUCACACCAUGGGCCACUCCGGAGUAGAAUAGAGUCCACCCCCUAUCCACGAGUGUGAUUCCAGAGCCAAGGCUGUGCGUAGAGGUAAGCCCCACCAGAUCCAACUGAUAACGCUCCACCUCCCGCACAAGCUUUGGCUCCUUCCCCCCCAGAGAGGUUACGUUUCACGUCCCCAGAGCCAGCGUCUGCCGCCCAGGUCUGUUCCGUCUAGACCCCCCACUGUCACUGCCACCCUUGUAGCAGCGCACCCGACCCCAUCGGUUUCCUCCACAGGUGGUGAGCCCAUGGGGAGUAGAGUGCUGGGCUGCCGCGUCACUCCUUCGGGCUGUGCCCGGCCGGGCUCCGCGGUAAACCCGGCCACCAGACGCUCGCUGUCGGGCCCUCCAUCUGGGCCUGGCUCCAAAUGGGGGCCCCGGGCUUCCUCCGGGCCGGGUAACUCCUUC